GUGCUCAUUUCAGCAACACAAAUAUUAAAAUUGCAAUGAUUCAUAGAAGAUUAGCAGUGCCCCAUGCCCACAGAUGAUACGCAAAUUUGUGAAGCAUUCCAUUUAAUA
Cavia aperea (Brazilian guinea pig) is the source of this 108-nucleotide small nuclear RNA. The record is from Ensembl. Lineage: Eukaryota; Metazoa; Chordata; Mammalia; Rodentia; Caviidae.